RNAcentral lists this ribosomal RNA (464 nucleotides) under uncultured bacterium. RNAcentral describes it as "partial 16S ribosomal RNA". It matches the Rfam family "Bacterial small subunit ribosomal RNA", at positions 28 to 507 of the family's 1533-position model. The record is from RNAcentral.
GACGAACGCUGGCGGCGUGCCUAACACAUGCAAGUCGAGCGAAUGAAGUUCCUUCGGGAAUGGAUUUAGCGGCGGACGGGUGAGUAACACGUGGGCAACCUGCCUCAUAGAGGGGAAUAGCCUCCCGAAAGGGAGAUUAAUACCGCAUAAGAUUGUAGUACCGCAUGAUACAGCAAUUAAAGGAGCAAUCCGCUAUGAGAUGGGCCCGCGGCGCAUUAGCUAGUUGGUGAGGUAAUGGCUCACCAAGGCGACGAUGCGUAGCCGACCUGAGAGGGUGAUCGGCAACAUUGGGACUGAGACACGGCCCAGACUCCUACGGGAGGCAGCAGUGGGGAAUAUUGCACAAUGGGGGAAACCCUGAUGCAGCAACGCCGCGUGAGUGAUGACGGCCUUCGGGUUGUAAAGCUCUGUCUUCAGGGACGAUAAUGACGGUACCUGAGGAGGAAGCCACGGCUAACUACGUG